Molecule: ribosomal RNA, 244 nt
Filed under: uncultured bacterium
Lineage: Bacteria
Description: partial small subunit ribosomal RNA
Rfam family: Bacterial small subunit ribosomal RNA
Source: RNAcentral
AGAAUCAACGCUGGCGGCGUGCCUAACACAUGCAAGUCGAACGAGAAAGUGGAGCAAUCCAUGAGUAAAGUGGCGCACGGGUGAGUAACACGUGACUAACCUACCCUUGAGUGGGGGAUAACUGAGGGAAACCUUAGCUAAUACCGCAUAAUACCCACGGGUCAAAGGAGCAAUUCGCUCGAGGAGGGGUCGCGGCCGAUUAGUUAGUUGGCAGGGUAAUGGCCUACCAAGACGAUGAUCGGUA